Molecule: ribosomal RNA, 301 nt
Filed under: uncultured bacterium
Lineage: Bacteria
Description: partial 16S ribosomal RNA
Rfam family: Bacterial small subunit ribosomal RNA
Source: RNAcentral
CAGUAGCCGCGGGAAUACGUAGGGUGCGAGCGUUAAUCGGAAUUACUGGGCGUAAAGCGUGCGCAGGCGGUUUUGUAAGACAGGCGUGAAAUCCCCGGGCUCAACCUGGGAAUGGCGCUUGUGACUGCAAAGCUAGAGUGCGGCAGAGGGGGAUGGAAUUCCGCGUGUAGCAGUGAAAUGCGUAGAUAUGCGGAGGAACACCGAUGGCGAAGGCAAUCCCCUGGGCCUGCACUGACGCUCAUGCACGAAAGCGUGGGGAGCAAACGGGAUUAGAUACCCCAGUAGUCCCUGUCUCUUAUAA